RNAcentral lists this ribosomal RNA (870 nucleotides) under uncultured archaeon. RNAcentral describes it as "bacterial SSU rRNA". It matches the Rfam family "Archaeal small subunit ribosomal RNA", at positions 1 to 881 of the family's 1478-position model. The record is from RNAcentral.
UCCGGUUGAUCCUGCCGGACCUGACUGCUAUCGGAUUGGUACUAAGCCAUGCGAGUCAUUGUAGCAAUACAAGGCGGACGGCUCAGUAACACGUAGUCAACCUAACUCGUGGACGUGGAUAACCUCGGGAAACUGAGAAUAAACCACGAUAGAUCAUAGUGCCUGGAAUGGCUUAUGGUCCAAACAGUUUACUGCCAUGGGAUGGGACUGCGGCCUAUCAGCUUGUUGGUGAGGUAAUGGCCCACCAAGGCGAUUACAGGUACGGGCUCUGAGAGGAGAAGCCCGGAGAUGGGUACUGAGACACGGACCCAGGCCCUAUGGGGCGCAGCAGGCGAGAAACCUUAGCAAUGUGCGAAAGCACGACUGGGUCAGUCCGAGUGAUUCCUGAUAAAGGAGUCUUUUGCCUGUCCUAAAAGCACAGGUGAAUAAGGGGUGGGCAAGUCUGGUGUCAGCCGCCGCGGUAAUACCAGCACCUCGAGUGGUCAGGACGUUUAUUGGGCCUAAAGCAUCCGUAGCCGGCUCUGCAAGUCUUCGGUUAAAUCCACCUGCUCAACAGAUGGGCCGCUGGAGAUACUACAGAGCUAGGGAGUGGGAGAGGCAGACGGUAUUCAGUGGGUAGGGGUAAAAUCCUCUGAUCCAUUGAGGACCACCAGUGGCGAAAGCGGUCUGCCAGAACACGUUCGACGGUGAGGGAUGAAAGCUGGGGGAGCAAACCGGAUUAGAUACCCGGGUAGUCCCAGCUGUAAACGAUGCAAACUCGGUGAUGCAUUGGCUUAUGGCCAAUGCAGUGCCGCAGGAAGCCGUUAAGUUUGCCGCCUGGGAAGUACGGACGCAAGUCUGAAACUUAAAGGAAUUGGCGGGGGAGCACAA